Molecule: ribosomal RNA, 460 nt
Filed under: uncultured bacterium
Lineage: Bacteria
Description: partial 16S ribosomal RNA
Rfam family: Bacterial small subunit ribosomal RNA
Source: RNAcentral
CCUACGGGAGGCUGCAGUGAGGAAUAUUGGUCAAUGGACGCAAGGCUGAACCAGCCAUGCCGCGUGCAGGAAGACGGCUCUAUGAGUUGUAAACUGCUUUUGUACGAGGGUAAACGCAGAUACGCGUAUAUGUCUGAGAGUAUCUGAAGAAUAAGCAUCGGCUAACUCCGUGCCAGCAGCCGCGGUAAUACGGAGGAUUCAAGCGUUAUCCGGAUUUAUUGGGUUUAAAGGGUGCGUAGGCGGUGGGAUAAGUCAGGGGUGAAAUCCCGGGGCUUAACUUCGGACGUGCGGCUGAUACUGUUCGGCUAGAGAGUAGUUGCGGUAGGCGGAAUGUAUGGUGUAGCGGUGAAAUGCUUAGAGAUCAUACAGAACACCGAUUGCGAAGGCAGCUUACCAAGCUACUUCUGACGUUGAGGCACGAAAGCGUGGGGAGCAAACAGGAUUAGAUACCCUGGUAGUC